GACGAACGCUGGCGGCGUGCUUAACACAUGCAAGUCGAACGGGCCCGCUCUCUUUUUUGGGGGUGGGUUGAGUGGCGAACGGGUGAGUAUCACGUGAGUAACCUGCCCCCUGCUCCUGGAUAACUGCUUGAAAGGGCGGCUAAUACGGGGUGUGCCGGCUGGUCCGCAUGGGCCUGGUCGGGAUAGUUUCAUCUUCGGGUGUUUCGGUGGGGGAUGGGCUCGCGGCCUAUCAGCUUGUUGGUGGGGUGAUGGCCCACCAAGGCGGUGACGGGUAGCCGGCCUGAGAGGGUGGGCGGCCACACUGGGACUGAGACACGGCCCAGACUCCGGCGGGAGGCAGCAGUGGGGGGUAUUGCACAAUGGGCGGAAGCCUGAUGCAGCGACGUCGCGUGAGGGAUGGAGGCCUUCGGGUGGUGAACCUCUUUCUCCGGUGGUGAAGGCCCUGUCCGUUGCGGCGGGGUUGACGGUAGCCGGGUAUGAAGCGCCGGCUAACUACGUG
This 499-nucleotide ribosomal RNA is filed under the name uncultured bacterium. RNAcentral describes it as "partial 16S ribosomal RNA". It matches the Rfam family "Bacterial small subunit ribosomal RNA", at positions 28 to 507 of the family's 1533-position model. The record is from RNAcentral.